AGUGAACGCUGGCGGUAGGCCUAACACAUGCAAGUCGAACGGCAGCACAGUAAGAGCUUGCUCUUACGGGUGGCGAGUGGCGGACGGGUGAGGAAUACAUCGGAAUCUACUUUUUCGUGGGGGAUAACGUAGGGAAACUUACGCUAAUACCGCAUACGACCUACGGGUGAAAGCAGGGGAUCUUCGGACCUUGCGCGAUUGAAUGAGCCGAUGUCGGAUUAGCUAGUUGGCGGGGUAAAGGCCCACCAAGGCGACGAUCCGUAGCUGGUCUGAGAGGAUGGAUAGGCAAACCGGAACUGAGACACGGUCCAGACUCCUACGGGAGGCAGCAGUGGGGAAUAUUGGACAAUGGGCGCAAGCCUGAUCCAGCCAUACCGCGUGGGUGAAGAAGGCCUUCGGGUUGUAAAGCCCUUUUGUUGGGAAAGAAAAGCAGCAGGUUAAUACCCCGCUGUUCUGACGGUACCCAAAGAAUAAGCACCGGCUAACUUCGUG
This 492-nucleotide ribosomal RNA is filed under the name uncultured bacterium. Its description in RNAcentral is "partial 16S ribosomal RNA". It matches the Rfam family "Bacterial small subunit ribosomal RNA", at positions 29 to 507 of the family's 1533-position model. The record is from RNAcentral.